Molecule: long non-coding RNA, 1625 nt
Filed under: Canis lupus familiaris (dog)
Lineage: Eukaryota; Metazoa; Chordata; Mammalia; Carnivora; Canidae
Description: lncRNA (ENSCAFG00845027135.1)
Source: RNAcentral
UUUUUUGUUUUUUGUUUUUUUUUUCAGGUAUCCUUGCUAUAAUGCAGAACAAAAAAUUAAAAUUUCCUACAUCAUAUGAUGUUCAUGUUAGCGGGUCUAAGAUUAAGCACAUGGUAUUUAUAAGCUAAAAUUAAUUCAAAAGGCAAGAAUGUCUUAAUGUCUUCGUUCUUCAAUUUUGUAUUCUUCAAGAAUGUAUUAAUAUAAAAACUGUGGCUAACCAGUUCUUAUUCUAUAGAACUGUAUUGACACCUGUAGUGGAUCGUGUUACUUCUUCAUUCUCAUCCAAUUUUAGUAGAAUCAAAUUGCUUUUUAUUUUCAUAUUACUAUCUACUAUAGAUUCUUCAGAUUUAGAAAAUAUGAGUAUGAUAUAUAAAGACCACUAGACUUUUAAAACCCUUUCUGUGAAUUUAUGCAUAUAUGUAGAUAUGUAAAAACAUUGUUGAUUUCCAAUUCUGUUUUUCCAUAGGAAUGAAAUUUUUAUAGACACUGUUCUUUUUAACUUAAAUAUUUUAACAUAAAUUAUUUACAUGGAUUUUUAGUACAAUUCAUUCUUAUGUGUGCCCCGUAAUCAUGUUUUUGUGAGAAGAUUACUUUCUUACUGAUACAGUAAAGAGGAAUAAAAAAAUUAGGAACUGAAAUAAACAAGGGUAAACAGAAGGAGACUGCUGAUCUUGAGAUCAGAACAGUAUAUGUUAAGACAAGAGAAAAAAACUUAAACUGAAGAAGGAAUAUGAACUAUAAAAUAGAAAUCUUUGUAAUUGUAAACUGAUGGGAAAGGCACCCAGGCCUUUCUCCAUUAGUUACUUUUUCCUUUAGGCUUAAAAUCUUUCAUUCUAAUGGGCCAUUUUCUGCACUGUUUACUGAGGUAAAAAAUUCCUCUAAAGUCAAUCAUUGUUUUCCACUUUUUGGACUGUGCAUUUGGCAGAAUGCAGUACCUUUUCUGUGUUUUGAGAUGAACUAGCACAUGGCUUCUACAAGAUAGUUUUUAACUCGUUGGGGUCACUAAGAAUUACAUGAUGGUAUACUUCUUCCUAAAAUUUGUUAUGGUAGAUUUAGUGAGAAAUUAAAUCAAGAAAUCUCAUUGUAGCAUAUUUUAAUAAGUGAAUACCAAAUACAUAAAGUAAGAUAUAUAUAUAUAUAUUAAUAUAUAUGUAUAUCAGUUUGGAAAGAAAUAGUCUGUGGGGACCAUUACGGUAACAGAAUUGCAUUAUAUAUUACACAUUACGUGGAUGUUGGAAUGUAUCACCUGGGGGUCUCCAUUCAUUAGCAAUCAUGUCUGUAUAUAAAACUGUUUUUUUUUUUUUUUUAACCAAACUAGCAUUUUAUUUUGUGAGUGACAAUUGACUGAUAUUUUUGAAUAAGUGUUAUCUGGGUUUUGGAAUUGUUCACUGAUCAGUUUGAGAAGGUAUGUUACCAGAAUUUUAGAGUUAACUCCAAUGUGAAAAAGUGUACACAAAAAGUAAUUCUUUUCUAGCUAUAAGAAUGUAAAAUACUUGCAUAUAGUGUAUAUAUUGUGUAACAUAUGUAUAUUUGGUCAUAAAGGCAUAGAAUUGGAAACAUUGUAAAAUUAAGCACUUUAAUUCCUAUUAAAUAUUAAGCAUUUGUAUCUUGUAAAUAAAUACAUC